Molecule: ribosomal RNA, 253 nt
Filed under: uncultured bacterium
Lineage: Bacteria
Description: partial 16S ribosomal RNA
Rfam family: Bacterial small subunit ribosomal RNA
Source: RNAcentral
UACGUAGGGUGCGGGCGUUGUCCGGAAUUAUUGGGCGUAAAGAGCUCGUAGGCGGCCAGUUGCGUCCGCUGUGAAAUCCCGGGGCUUAACCCCGGGCGUGCAGUGGAUACGGGCUGGCUGGAGGCAGGCAGGGGAGAACGGAAUUCCUGGUGUAGCGGUGAAAUGCGCAGAUAUCAGGAGGAACACCGGUGGCGAAGGCGGUUCUCUGGGCCUGUACUGACGCUGAGGAGCGAAAGCGUGGGGAGCGAACAGG